GAUGAACGCUGGCGGCGUGCCUAAUACAUGCAAGUCGAGCGGUAAGGCCCUUCGGGGUACACGAGCGGCGGACGGCUGAGUAACACGUAGGAACGUACCCCAAACUGAGGGAUAAGCACCAGAAAUGGUGUCUAAUACCGCAUGUGGCCUUCGGGCUAAAGCUCCGGCGGUUUGGGAACGGCCUGCGCAUGAUUAGCUUGUUGGUGAGGUAAUGGCUCACCAAGGCGAUGAUCAUUAGCUGGUCUGAGAGGAUGACCAGCCAGACUGGGACUGAGAACGGCCCAGACUCCUACGGGAGGCAGCAGUAGGGAAUUUUCCACAAUGGGCGAAAGCCUGAUGGAGCAACGCCGCGUGCAGGAUGAAUGUCUUCGGAUUGUAAACUGCUUUUAUAUGUGACGAUUAUGACGGUAGCAUAUGAAUAAGGAUCGGCUAACUCCGUGCCAGCAGCCGCAGUAACAC
Molecule: ribosomal RNA, 459 nt
Filed under: uncultured bacterium
Lineage: Bacteria
Description: bacterial SSU rRNA
Rfam family: Bacterial small subunit ribosomal RNA
Source: RNAcentral